AUUGAACGCUGGCGGCAUGCCUUACACAUGCAAGUCGAAUGGCAGCAAGGGCGCUUGUACCUGGUGGCGAGUGGCGAACGGGUGAGUAAUACAUCGGCACGUACCUUAUCGUGGGGGAUAACGCAGCGAAAGAUGUGCUAAUACCGCAUCAGCCAGGACGGGGAAAGGGGGGGAUCGCAAGACCUCGCGCGAUUAGCAGUGCCGAUGACUGAUUAGCUAGUUGGUAGGGUAAAAGCCCACCAAGGCGACGAUCAGUACGCGGACUGAGAGGACGAUCAGCCAGACUGAGACUGGGACACGGCCCAGACUCCUACGGGAGGCAGCAGUGGGGAAUUUUGGACAAUGGGGGCAACCCUGAUCCAGCAAUGCCGCGUUAGUGAAGAAGGCCUUCGGGUUGUAAAGCUCUUUUGUCAGGGAAGAAACACCGGCUCUAACACAGUCCGGGAAUGACGGUACCUGAAGAAUAAGCACCGGCUAACUACGUGCCAGCCGCCGCCGUAA
Molecule: ribosomal RNA, 501 nt
Filed under: uncultured bacterium
Lineage: Bacteria
Description: partial 16S ribosomal RNA
Rfam family: Bacterial small subunit ribosomal RNA
Source: RNAcentral